RNAcentral lists this ribosomal RNA (483 nucleotides) under uncultured bacterium. Its description in RNAcentral is "partial 16S ribosomal RNA". It matches the Rfam family "Bacterial small subunit ribosomal RNA", at positions 355 to 828 of the family's 1533-position model. The record is from RNAcentral.
UGGGGAAUAUUGCACAAUGGGCGCAAGCCUGAUGCAGCCAUGCCGCGUGUGUGAAGAAGGCCUUCGGGUUGUAAAGCACUUUCAGCGAGGAGGAAGGUGGUGAGCUUAAUACGCUCAUCAAUUGACGUUACUCGCAGAAGAAGCACCGGCUAACUCCGUGCCAGCAGCCGCGGUAAUACGGAGGGUGCAAGCGUUAAUCGGAAUUACUGGGCGUAAAGCGCACGCAGGCGGUUUGUUAAGUCAGNUGUGAAAUCCCCGGGGCUCAACCUGGGAACUGCAUUUGAAACUGGCAAGCUAGAGUCUCGUAGAGGGGGGUAGAAUUCCAGGUGUAGCGGUGAAAUGCGUAGAGAUCUGGAGGAAUACCGGUGGCGAAGGCGGCCCCCUGGACGAAGACUGACGCUCAGGUGCGAAAGCGUGGGGCAGCAAACAGGAUUAGAUACCCUGGUAGUCCACGCUGUAAACGAUGUCGAUUUGGAGGUUGUG